Molecule: ribosomal RNA, 253 nt
Filed under: uncultured bacterium
Lineage: Bacteria
Description: partial 16S ribosomal RNA
Rfam family: Bacterial small subunit ribosomal RNA
Source: RNAcentral
UACGUAGGGUGCAAGCGUUGUCCGGAAUUAUUGGGCGUAAAGAGCUCGUAGGCGGUUUGUCGCGUCUGCUGUGAAAACUCGGGGCUUAACCCCGGGCCUGCAGUGGGUACGGGCAGACUAGAGUGCGGUAGGGGAGACUGGAAUUCCUGGUGUAGCGGUGAAAUGCGCAGAUAUCAGGAGGAACACCGGUGGCGAAGGCGGGUCUCUGGGCCGUAACUGACGCUGAGGCACGAAAGCGUGGGGAUCAAACAGG